This 72-nucleotide transfer RNA is filed under the name Chloropicon sp. RCC4434. Its description in RNAcentral is "tRNA-Arg". It matches the Rfam family "tRNA". Rfam says of the family: Transfer RNA (tRNA) molecules are approximately 80 nucleotides in length. Lineage: Eukaryota; Viridiplantae; Chlorophyta; Chloropicophyceae; Chloropicales; Chloropicaceae. The record is from RNAcentral.
GGGGGGUUAGUUUAAUGGAUAAAACAUCGAUCUUCUAAAUCGUCGUUGUUGGUUCGAUUCCAGCACUCCCUG